Molecule: non-coding RNA, 104 nt
Filed under: Halanaerobium hydrogeniformans
Lineage: Bacteria; Bacillati; Bacillota; Clostridia; Halanaerobiales; Halanaerobiaceae
Description: SAM-I sequence
Rfam family: SAM riboswitch aptamer (S box leader)
About the family: The SAM riboswitch is found upstream of a number of genes which code for proteins involved in methionine or cysteine biosynthesis in Gram-positive bacteria. The SAM riboswitch acts at the level of transcription termination control.
Source: Rfam by way of RNAcentral
AACUUAUCAAGAGAGGUGGAGGGACUGGCCCUUUGAAGCCCAGCAACCAGCAUAAUUUAUGCCCGGUGCUAAUUCCAGCAGGUAAAAGACCUGGAAGAUAAGUA